This 617-nucleotide ribosomal RNA is filed under the name Enterobacter hormaechei. RNAcentral describes it as "bacterial SSU rRNA". It matches the Rfam family "Bacterial small subunit ribosomal RNA", at positions 38 to 642 of the family's 1533-position model. The record is from RNAcentral. Lineage: Bacteria; Pseudomonadati; Pseudomonadota; Gammaproteobacteria; Enterobacterales; Enterobacteriaceae.
GGCAUUGGGGGGCUAACACAUGCAGUCGAACGGUAACAGGAAGCAGCUUGCGGCUUCGCUGACGAGUGGCGGACGGGUGAGUAAUGUCUGGGAAACUGCCUGAUGGAGGGGGAUAACUACUGGAAACGGUAGCUAAUACCGCAUAACGUCGCAAGACCAAAGAGGGGGACCUUCGGGCCUCUUGCCAUCGGAUGUGCCCAGAUGGGAUUAGCUAGUAGGUGGGGUAACGGCUCACCUAGGCGACGAUCCCUAGCUGGUCUGAGAGGAUGACCAGCCACACUGGAACUGAGACACGGUCCAGACUCCUACGGGAGGCAGCAGUGGGGAAUAUUGCACAAUGGGCGCAAGCCUGAUGCAGCCAUGCCGCGUGUAUGAAGAAGGCCUUCGGGUUGUAAAGUACUUUCAGCGGGGAGGAAGGCGUUAAGGUUAAUAACCUUGGCAAUUGACGUUACCCGCAGAAGAAGCACCGGCUAACUCGGUGCCAGCAGCCGCGGUAAAUACGGAGGGUGCAAGCGUUAAUCGAAAUUACUGGCCGUAAGGCGCACGAGGCGGUCUGUCAAGUCGGAGGUAAAAUCCCGGGGCUCAACAGGGGAACUGGAGUCCGAAACGGGGGGUUU